CAAUAGCGUAUAUUAAAGUUGUUGCAGUUAAAAAGCUCGUAGUUGGAUUUCUGGUGGGAGCGGCCGGUCCGCCGUAAGGUGUGUACUUGGUUGUCUCCUGUCAUCCUUGUGGGAACUGCUCUGGCAUUAAGUUGUCGGGGUUAGGGAACACAUCGUUUACUGUGAAAAAAUUAGAGUGUUUAAAGCAGGCUUAUGCCGUUGAAUACAUUAGCAUGGAAUAAUAAGAUAGGACUUUGGCGUCUAUUUUGUUGGUUUGCACACCAAGGUAAUGAUUAAUAGGGAUAGUUGGGGGUAUUCGUAUUUAAUUGUCAGAGGUGAAAUUCUUGGAUUUAUGAAAGACGAACUUCUGCGAAAGCAUUUACCAAAGAUGUUUNCAUUA
This 379-nucleotide ribosomal RNA is filed under the name uncultured eukaryote. RNAcentral's name for it is "partial 18S ribosomal RNA". It matches the Rfam family "Eukaryotic small subunit ribosomal RNA", at positions 592 to 975 of the family's 1831-position model. The record is from RNAcentral.